This is a long non-coding RNA of Oncorhynchus mykiss (rainbow trout), 3893 nucleotides long. The record is from Ensembl. NCBI's taxonomy places the organism in Eukaryota, Metazoa, Chordata, Actinopteri, Salmoniformes, Salmonidae.
UACAAAAAAUAAGCUAUUGUCUUUACUUUCAGAGUGCGGGCUGAUCAAGGGGUGGAAAAUGUAGAUAUUGCAUUGUCCGAGGAACAGGCCGUGGAAGCUAUAUUGCUGGCAAAAGUGUCCAUAACCAGAGGUAAACAUUUUAUUUCACCUUUAUUUAGCCAGGUACUAGUUGAGAACAAGUUCUCAUUUACAACUGCAAACCUGGCCAAGAUAAAGCAAAGCAGUGCGACACAAACAACAACACAGAGUUACACAUGGAAUAAACAAACAUACAGUCAAUAACAAUAGAAAAAGUCUAUAUACAGUGUGUGCAAAUGAGGUAAGUUAAGGGAGGUAAGGCACUGUUCUGUGUUCUUUUUCUCUCUUCCUCUGCCUGUCUUGUUGUACAUGGAACCUGUCUCACAUGCACAGUUUUGGAGGAAGAAGGAUACCUUGACCUGUCGAAUUCUAUCCACUUCUUCUGUGUGGGAUAUGUGUUCCUAUCUCGUCUGCGGGCAGAUCUGCAGCAUUUCACAGUGAGUUGGAAUAAUCACCCUUUAAGUACAGAGGCGAACCUGACACCUCACCAGCUGUGGCAUAUCGGAAUGCUCCAAACACCUGUGCACAUUUUAGUUUUUGCCUUAGCACUACACAGCUGAUUCAAAUGAUCAAGUCAUCAUCAAGCUUCAAGUGGUAUUCAUGUCUUUAGCCUCUUAGUGUGGACACCAGGUGAGACCACACACACUGCUAUACCAGCAGAGGGCAGCCUUGUUCAUUUUAUGUCGACAUGUUUCUUUCCCCAGCGACCAUUCCUAUACAUGAAGUGUGGUGCAGUGGCCUCAGGGAGAAGAUAGCCUACACCUACAGUAGAUGGAGAUGUUUACCGACCACCGACAAAGAUCUGACCUACGCACCCAACAUAGCCACUCCCAUUCCAUAUAGCCCAAGACCUGAAAGGUAAGGAGAUAUUUUAAUUUUCAAUGAAAAUUAACCAACACAAAUCAUCCAUCAUACUUCACUUAUCCUUCAGGGAAGUCAUGUGAAUGUGAAUAGAAGUGCCCUAUCGGUCAAGUUUUUCCUCAAACAUCCAGCAGUGAGGAAGAUCACUUGGUCAGCCAUUUUGAGUUCUGAACCGAUCGACCCAUUGAUUUACCUUUAGAACAAUUGAAUUAAGGUUGUUCUCCCACAAAAGCUUAAUAGCAAAAUAAUAUGAUCUACAGUGAUUAGAGGUCGACCGAUUAUGAUUUUUCAACACCGAUACCUAUUAUUGGAGGACAAAAAAAGCUGAUGCCGAUUAAUCGGACGAUUUUUACAAUGUAUUUGUAAUAAUGACAAUUACAACAAUACUGAAUGAACACUUAUUUUAACUUAAUAUAAUCCAUCAAUAAAAUCAAUUUAGCCUCAAAUAAAUAAUGAAACAUGUUCAAUUUGGUUUAAAUAAUGCAAAAACAAAGUGUUGGAGAAGAAAGUAAAAGUGCAAUAUGUGCCAUGUAAGAAAGCUAACGUUUAAGUUCCUUGCUCAGAACAUGAGAACAUAUGAAAGCUGGUGGUUCCUUUUAACAUGAGUCUUCAAUAUUCCCAGGUAGGAAGUUUUAGGUUGUAGUUAUUAUAGGAAUUAUAGGACUAUUUCUCUCUAUACCAUUUGUAUUUCAUAUACCUUUGACUAUUGGACGUUCUUAUAGGCACUUUAGUUUUGCCAGUGUAACAGUAUAGCUUUCGUACCUCUCCUCGCUCCUACCUGGGCUCGAACCAGGAACACAACGACAACAGCCACCCUCGAAGCAGCGUUACCCAUGCAGAGCAAGGGGAACAACUACUCCAAGUCUCAGAGCCAGUGACGUUUGAAACACUAUUAGCGCGCACCCCGCUAACUAGCUAGCCAUUUCACAUCACAUUGUUACACCAGCCUAAUCUCGGGAGUUGAUAUUCUUGAAGUCAUAAACAGCAGAGCUGCUGGCAAAACGCACAAAAGUGCUGUUUGAAUGAAUGCUUACGAGCCUGCUGGUGCCUACCAUUGCUCAGUCAGACUGCUCUAUCAAAUCAUAGACUUAAUUAUAACAUAAUAACACACAGAAAUGCGAGCCUUAGGUCAUUAAUAUGGUUGAAUCUGGAAACUAUCAUCACUAAAACAAGACGUCUAUUUUUUCAGUGAAAUACGGAACCGUUCCGUAUUUUAUCUAAUGGGUUGCAUCCAUCAGUCUAAAUAUUCAUGUUACAUUGCACAACCUUCAAUGUUAUGUCAUCAUAAAAUUCUGGCAAAUUAGUUUGCAAUGAACCAAGCGGCCCAAACUGUUGCAUAUACCCUGACUCUGCGUGCAAUGAACGCAAGAGAAGUGACACAAUUUCACCUGGUUAAUAUUGCCUGCUAACCUGGAUUUCUUUUAGCUAAAUAUGCAGGUUUAAAAAUAUAUACUUCUGUGUAUUGAUUUUAAGAAAGGCAUUGUCCUUUUUUGCGAAUGCGCACUGCAUCGAUUAUAUGCAACGCAGGACACGCUAGAUAAACUAGUAAUAUCAUCAACCAUGUGUAGUUAUAACUAGUGAUUAUGAUUGAUUAAGUUUAAUGCUAGCUAGCAACUUACCUUGGCUUCUUACUGCAUUCGCGUAACAGGCGGGCUCCUCGUGAGGCAUGUGGUUAGAGUGUUGGACUAGUUAACCGUAAGGUUGCAAGAUUGAAUCCCUAAACAAGGCAGUUAACCCACCGUUCCUAGACCGUCAUUGAAAAUAAGAAUGUGUUCUUAACUGACUUGCCUAGUUAAAUAAAUAUUAAAUAAAGGUGUAAAAAAAAAUAUACAAAAAUGACAGAUUUCCGAUUGUUAUGAAAACUUGAAAUCGUCCCUAAUUAAUCGGCCAUUCCGAGUAAUUGGUCAACCUCUAACAGUGAUAGGUAUUUCAUGUCACAUUUGAGCUUUGUACAAUGGGGGUUGCCAGUUUGGUCUUUGACACAAUGUAUCUCUUACUGAGUUACAAGUGGUGAGUUUGCCAGUUGGUCAUGUCCUGGUAUUGUAAGUAGUUAAUUACUAGGGAAUCAGGGAGACACAGAGGGGUAUAAAGAAGAGCUUGUGGCUUUGAGAAGCUUCACAUUACAUUUGUGUCUUUGUGUUGAUGUAACCCCCCGUCCCCACCAGGAGAAUAAGAGCUACAUUCUGCCUCAGCGACACAAUAGAGUCCUUCAUAUCCAGAUGUUGUCACAAUGUGUUUUUGUAGCGCCAUACAGUGCCUUCGGAAAUUAUUCAGACCCCUUGACUUUGUCCACAUUUUGUUACGUUACAGCCUUAUUCUAAAAUUGAUUCAAUAUAUAAAAAUCCUCAGCAAUCUACACACAAUACCCCAUAAUGACAAAGUGAAAACAGGGUUUUAGAAAUUUGUCCUAAUUAAAAAAAUAAAUAGAAAAAAAUACCUUGUUUACGUAAGUAUUAAGACGUUUUGCUAUGAGACACGAAAUUAAGCUCUGGUGCAUCCUGUUUCCAUUGAUCAUCCUUGAGAUGUUUUUAUAACUUGAUUUGAGUCCACCUGUGAAUAAUUAAAUUGAUUUGAUAUUAUUUGGAAAGGCACACACUUGUUUAUAUAAGGUCCCGGUGUUGUCAGUGCAUGUCAGAGCAAAAACCAAGCCAUGAGGUCGAAAGAAUUGCCCGAAGAGCUCCGAGACAGGAUUGUGUCGAGGCACAGAUCUGGGGAGGGGUACCAAAAAAAUCUCUGCAGCAUUGAAGGUCCCCAAGAGCACAGUGGUCUCCAUUAUUCUUAAAUGGAAGAAGUUUGGAACCACCAAGACUCUUCCUAGAGCUGGCUGCCCAGCCAAUCUGAGCAAUAUUUAACAUCUGCUAAAUAUGUCUAUGUGACCAAUACAAUUUGAUUUGAAGUUCUACAGCAGCAAGGACUGGGAGACUAGUCAGGAUAGAGGGAAAGAUGAACGGAGC